GUGGUAAUGCCGGAUGCUCCAUCACACCGCAUGGUGUGUUGGGAAAGCCUUUGCGGCAUGGGAUGGGGUCGCGUCCUAUCAGCUUGAUGGCGGGGUAACGGCCCACCAUGGCUUCGACGGGUAGCCGGCCUGAGAGGGCGACCGGCCACAUUGGGACUGAGAUACGGCCCAGACUCCUACGGGAGGCAGCAGUGGGGAAUAUUGCACAAUGGGCGCAAGCCUGAUGCAGCGACGCCGCGUGAGGGAUGGAGGCCUUCGGGUUGUAAACCUCUUUUGUUAGGGAGCAAGGCAUUUUGUGUUGAGUGUACCUUUCGAAUAAGCACCGGCUAACUACGUGCCAGCAGCCGCGGUAAUACGUAGGGUGCAAGCGUUAUCCGGAAUUAUUGGGCGUAAAGGGCUCGUAGGCGGUUCGUCGCGUCCGGUGUGAAAGUCCAUCGCUUAACGGUGGAUUCGCGCCGGGUACGGGCGGGCUUGAGUGCGGUAGGGGAGACUGGAAUUCCCGGUGUAACGGUGGAAUGUGUAGAUAUCGGGAAGAACACC
Molecule: ribosomal RNA, 540 nt
Filed under: Bifidobacterium breve
Lineage: Bacteria; Bacillati; Actinomycetota; Actinomycetes; Bifidobacteriales; Bifidobacteriaceae
Description: bacterial SSU rRNA
Rfam family: Bacterial small subunit ribosomal RNA
Source: RNAcentral